GGGAGGGUCUGCCAAAGCUUGCCUUAGACACCAUCAGAAAAUGGUCAGGUAAGUGGGCUCCCAAUUAAAAACCACCGGUCUGGUUUACCUUAGACACCAACUGGUUUAAUUAGUUUCGAUUGGAUCAACCUAACAGUUCGUGCUAGACCGCUUAGCCAAGAAUCAAAUCCAUUUGGUUCUCGUUAAAGAUAUGGACUUGACC
Molecule: long non-coding RNA, 202 nt
Filed under: Elaeis guineensis (African oil palm)
Lineage: Eukaryota; Viridiplantae; Streptophyta; Magnoliopsida; Arecales; Arecaceae
Description: long non-coding RNA (EGUI_LNC071016)
Source: RNAcentral